Molecule: long non-coding RNA, 703 nt
Organism: Cornus florida
Lineage: Eukaryota; Viridiplantae; Streptophyta; Magnoliopsida; Cornales; Cornaceae
Exons: 2
Source: RefSeq, a predicted model, not a curated record
AACUAAGAACAAAAAAAACAAACAACAACUUACCACGUGUCAAUUUUUCUAUUACAUUAACUCUCUCAUACUAAGUACUCCCUAUGAGAUACUUUUUUGAGAGCUCUAUGUGAACCAUACAUUUUUCUCUUUUCUUGGAUAAGGUAAGCAAUACAUUCUUUAUACAUAUAUGUGUGUGUGUGUCAUGCUUAAACACAUAGCAUACUAGUAUAACUUCCUCUGUUCUAGAGCCACAUGAUCGAAAAAACAAAUAAAAAUGACAAGCAAAGCUUCUUCGAUCUCUUCUUCUAUCAUCAUAUGCUGCUUGUUCAUGAUUUGGAUCAUCAUGGUUUCACCUGUACUCUCAGCGCGAAAAUUAUCCACCACUCCCAUCAACGAACAAAGUAAAAGUAGUACAGCAGGAAGAGGUCCAAUCAUUUGGAUAACACCUUCGCCUCCCUGUCCCAAGGUUUGCAGCUCCCCAAUCGUUGGAAAACCAUAGGAGAAUGUGCGUGUAAUAUAUUUGCUAGUCACUAAAACUAGCAUAUUAGUGGUGAGAGAAUACGAGUGAUUUGUAAAAAAUCUAAGAUGCUUUUAUUGAGACGUGAGAGUGUGCGUGUAAUAUAUUUGCUUGAUUUUGUUUUAUAUUUAGCCAAAUUAAUAAUGUGUCUAAUUUAUGCGACUAUGUUAUUCAACCCAAUUUGAAUUUUCCUUUUACCCCUUA